GAGUGGCGAACGGGUGAGUAACACGUGGAUAACCUGCCUCAAGGCUGGGGAUAACAUUUGGAAACAGAUGCUAAUACCGAAUAAAACUUAGUAUCGCAUGAUAUCAAGUUAAAAGGCGCUACGGCGUCACCUAGAGAUGGAUCCGCGGUGCAUUAGUUAGUUGGUGGGGUAAAGGCUUACCAAGACGAUGAUGCAUAGCCGAGUUGAGAGACUGAUCGGCCACAUUGGGACUGAGACACGGCCCAAACUCCUACGGGAGGCUGCAGUAGGGAAUCUUCCACAAUGGGCGCAAGCCUGAUGGAGCAACGCCGCGUGUGUGAUGAAGGCUUUCGGGUCGUAAAGCACUGUUGUAUGGGAAGAAAUGCUAAAAUAGGGAAUGAUUUUAGUUUGACGGUACCAUACCAGAAAGGGACGGCUAAAUACGUGCCAGCAGCCGCGGUAAUACGUAUGUCCCGAGCGUUAUCCGGAUUUAUUGGGCGUAAAGCGAGCGCAGACGGUUGAUUAAGUCUGAUGUGAAAGCCCGGAGCUCAACUCCGGAAUGGCAUUGGAAACUGGUUAACUUGAGUGUUGUAGAGGUAAGUGGAACUCCAUGUGUAGCGGUGGAAUGCGUAGAUAUAUGGAAGAACACCAGUGGCGAAGGCGGCUUACUGGACAACAACUGACGUUGAGGCUCGAAAGUGUGGGUAGCAAACAGGAUUAGAUACCCUGGUAGUCCACACCGUAAACGAUGAAUACUAGGUGUUAGGAGGUUUCCGCCUCUUAGUGCCGAAGCUAACGCAUUAAGUAUUCCGCCUGGGGAGUACGACCGCAAGGUUGAAACUCAAAGGAAUUGACGGGGACCCGCACAAGCGGUGGAGCAUGUGGUUUAAUUCGAAGCAACGCGAAGAACCUUACCAGGUCUUGACAUCCUUUGAAGCUUUUAGAGAUAGAAGUGUUCUCUUCGGAGACAAAGUGACAGGUGGUGCAUGGUCGUCGUCAGCUCGUGUCGUGAGAUGUUGGGUUAAGUCCCGCAACGAGCGCAACCCUUAUUGUUAGUUGCCAGCAUUCAGUUGGGCACUCUAGCGAGACUGCCGGUGACAAACCGGAGGAAGGCGGGGACGACGUCAGAUCAUCAUGCCCCUUAUGACCUGGGCUACACACGUGCUACAAUGGCGUAUACAACGAGUUGCCAACCUGCGAAGGUGAGCUAAUCUCUUAAAGUACGUCUCAGUUCGGACUGCAGUCUGCAACUCGACUGCACGAAGUCGGAAUCGCUAGUAAUCGCGGAUCAGCACGCCGCGGUGAAUACGUUCCCGGGUCUUGUACACACCGCCCGUCACACCAUGGGAGUUUGUAAUGCCCAAAGCCGGUGGCCUAACCUCGGGAGGAG
This 1369-nucleotide ribosomal RNA is filed under the name Leuconostoc citreum. RNAcentral's name for it is "bacterial SSU rRNA". It matches the Rfam family "Bacterial small subunit ribosomal RNA", at positions 93 to 1452 of the family's 1533-position model. The record is from RNAcentral. Lineage: Bacteria; Bacillati; Bacillota; Bacilli; Lactobacillales; Lactobacillaceae.